GACGAACGCUGGCGGCGUGCUUAACACAUGCAAGUCGAACGGAAAGGCCUCUUUCGGGGGGUACUCGAGUGGCGAACGGGUGAGUAACACGUGAGUAACCUGCCCUUGACUUUGGGAUAACUUCAGGAAACUGGGGCUAAUACCGGAUAGGAGCUCCUGCUGCAUGGUGGGGGUUGGAAAGUUUCGGCGGUUGGGGAUGGACUCGCGGCUUAUCAGCUUGUUGGUGGGGUAGUGGCUUACAAAGGCUUUGACGGGUAGCCGGCCUGAGAGGGUGACCGGCCACAUUGGGACUGAGAAACGGCCCAGACUCCUACGGGAGGCAGCAGUGGGGAAUAUUGCACAAUGGGUGGAAGCCUGAUGCAGCAACGCCGUGUGCGGGAUGACGGCCUUCGGGUUGUAAACCGCUUUCGCUCAUGACGAAGCUUUGUGUGACGGUAGUGGGUAAAGAAGCACCGGCUAACUACGUG
This 467-nucleotide ribosomal RNA is filed under the name uncultured bacterium. RNAcentral's name for it is "partial 16S ribosomal RNA". It matches the Rfam family "Bacterial small subunit ribosomal RNA", at positions 28 to 507 of the family's 1533-position model. The record is from RNAcentral.